This 357-nucleotide long non-coding RNA is filed under the name Androctonus crassicauda. The record is from RNAcentral. Lineage: Eukaryota; Metazoa; Arthropoda; Arachnida; Scorpiones; Buthidae.
AUUUUAAAUAUCAAGUUUCUGGUAUUGCCUAUUUAUUCUUUGGCAUAUAUUAUUGUUCAAAACCAAUAUAUGUAUAUACUUGCACAAAAAUCAAAUGGAACCUUAUCCUUAUCAUUCCAGAGAAGAGCAUAGGUGCCCCUCUGUCUCUUGCACAGAACAGUUAUUUUUUAAUUUGUUAUUUAGAUUUUUUCAUUCCGUUUCUACUAAGGGAUUACAUACUGUAGGCUUUAUUAUAGUUCUUUGUUGUGAACUGUUGGUUAUAUCAGGUCAGUCCAAAAGUUUGUGCACAUUUUUGGGAAAUUUUUAAAUAGUAUAAAUAAAACACAAUUUAACAUUUUAAUCAAUGAUAUAUUUUCC